This 93-nucleotide transfer RNA is filed under the name Oerskovia enterophila. RNAcentral describes it as "tRNA-Ser". Lineage: Bacteria; Bacillati; Actinomycetota; Actinomycetes; Micrococcales; Cellulomonadaceae. The record is from RNAcentral.
CGUGGUGCUGGUCGAGUGGAGCAUGCAGGUGCCGGAGGCUCCUGGGGAGUCGGUGGACGGGGUGGCUGUGGGGUUCGACGCCGCGGGCCACGA